This 425-nucleotide unclassified non-coding RNA is filed under the name Octopus sinensis (East Asian common octopus). RNAcentral describes it as "uncharacterized LOC118763655, transcript variant X1". The record is from RNAcentral. Lineage: Eukaryota; Metazoa; Mollusca; Cephalopoda; Octopoda; Octopodidae.
UCAUGUGUGUGUGUGUGUGUCCCUGUUAUAAUGAAUGGCAGAAAAAACAUCUGCAGAACAGUAUUUUUGCUUGUAUAUAUAUAUAUAUAUAUUAGGUAUAGACAACUUUUUCUAAGAAGCAGGCACACAAGACAUGGCUCAUCAUCUGGUGGUCCACCCAACUAAAAAAUUCAAGACUGAACCCAUUGAACAGAGUGAUGGCAGCCAGACUUGACUUUGAAGAAAGGAAAUUUAUUCUAAAAUGCUACUGGAAGUAUGAAAACGCAGUAGAAGUGCAAAGACAAUUUAGGAGGGAGUUUAACAAAGAACCACCAACACGAGUUACCAUCACUCGAAUUAGAGAUAAGUUUGAAGCUGAUGGAAUUGUUCAGGACGCCCAUUAGAAGCGUUCUGGAACACCACGUACAUCGACAAGCCCCACAAAA